UGAGAAUUUAAAGGCACAGGCCCCUACUUCCUAGGCUGGAGGUGAACAGAGCAAGGUGGCUACCCUCUGGAAACCCUGCAAGUUGGCUGCUGAGGUCGGAAGGGCCAUGGCGGGUGGGGUGUGCUCAUCCUCCUAGCCUAGGUCCCAACUGGAAGCCUGCAGGAGACCACUGUUUGUCCCCGCCCUCACGCCAGAGAGCCUGGCAAGCCCUUGCUCCUGGGAGGAGCGUAAACACACCUGCAAGACAGGUGGUGGUUCAGAGGACUCUGGGUUUGGUUCAGGAGGGAGCUUGCUCAAGGUCACCUGGUGAACUGGGGCGGUCGAACUUCGACUGUGGAACUGGAGGAGCGGUAGUGACGAAGGAAAGGUGACUGCUGAACUCCUUCUUGGAAGGACAGUCCGUGAUGCCAAACUGAAAGGGAGACGUGCCCGGGAAGCAGAGAGAAGAGCAGGUGC
Fukomys damarensis (Damara mole-rat) is the source of this 456-nucleotide long non-coding RNA. RefSeq lists it as uncharacterized. The record is from RefSeq and is a predicted model, not a curated record. Lineage: Eukaryota; Metazoa; Chordata; Mammalia; Rodentia; Bathyergidae. The transcript has 3 exons.